AAAUUAUUUUGAAACAUUCGGGAAACUCCUGAUGAACCGACUUCUCUAAAACUUCUUCACAGAGCUUGAAAACACUAGUUUUAGUAAUGCACUAGCAUUAUCCUUAUGAAACAAAGAAGCAAGUGAGAGUGAGAGACCAGAAAAACAUGAAGAAAAAGUGAGUCACGUUAUGUUGAAAUUAGUUGAUAUUAUUGACAAACCACAUGAUUCCCCAGAAGACCAGCCCACAAAUUCACAAAAAAGCGUUGCUGAAAUGCCCUCGGAAUUAAAACAUUAGCAAAAAUGCUAAUUUUUCGUACUAAAUACAAACAUUGCAACAUUCUUCUAGAUUUUUUAAUGAAAAAGCAGCCAAGGGGUUAUAGUAAGCUCAUGUGAGUGGAAGAAAACAACAAUAAAUUGUUGUUGAAAUUUUGAGGUUAGAAUUUCUACUGGGCAAUAAUGCCUAAAUACGACAGUAAAACUACAAUUUUGAUAUUAAAAUUAGUAACCUGUUUUAUUUAAGCACAAUUUCUUAUAAAAAGAACAUUUUUCUGUUAAUUUUGCAUUAAAGUAAAUAAAGAAACUUGAGUACU
Long non-coding RNA from Tribolium madens (black flour beetle), 572 nucleotides. RefSeq lists it as uncharacterized. The record is from RefSeq and is a predicted model, not a curated record. The transcript is spliced from 3 exons. NCBI's taxonomy places the organism in Eukaryota, Metazoa, Arthropoda, Insecta, Coleoptera, Tenebrionidae.